This is a long non-coding RNA of Micropterus salmoides (largemouth bass), 1328 nucleotides long. RefSeq lists it as uncharacterized. The transcript is spliced from 3 exons. The record is from RefSeq and is a predicted model, not a curated record. NCBI's taxonomy places the organism in Eukaryota, Metazoa, Chordata, Actinopteri, Centrarchiformes, Centrarchidae.
GUGACCUUAAAAGGCCACAAAGAGAAAGUACCAAGGUUUCAAAAGAGUGGCACAGUUAUCAGCCGGCCAUGUUUUCUACGUGGCUGUAGUUUUGUAGGGGUUUAUAUUAGGGAAAAGAAGGAGUAGUCUUCAGGCAUUAUUCCUGAAGGUGGAGGGAAGAACAUCUCAGACAAAACUGGACUAGGCAGUGAGAGCAUCCAGACUAUCUCUGCCAAAUGCAAAGGAAGACCCCAACUCUGAGAUCCAUGCAGCAGGCUGCAACGCUCUGGCUGCGACGCCUUGCCCACCAAGCCAGAUGGAGGGCUAAUCACAGGAACAGCAUGCAGCUUGAACCCCUGAGUUAGCCCUGCCUGUCUGGACACAAAGCAGGACACUAAGCUCUGUCUUUCACUGUACUGGACUGUCACACUGCUGUUUGCUUGCUCCAUCUGUCUUCCUCACUCUCUGAUCCUUUUUAGAAGUUUGCCACACUGCACACCCUGUUUCCUGUCACUUUAUUGUCCUCAAACAUUAGAGAGAUCCACUGAGAAACUCUAGAAUAACUCAGUGGACAGAGAACAAGAGGAACAAUUUAUGAAUCUCUUUCAUUCAAAAAGAUACAGACCCAGUUUGUUUUGUUGUCAGCUCCUGAGUAUUCCCCAGAGAGGCGCAGUUGCAGGAGAUAAGAGGGACUAUUCGAGGUCGAUGGUAUUGAGCCUGGAUUCCUGUCCCUAACGAGAUUAGCUGCAAGAGAGAGACAGAGAUGUUAGGUAGUGGCCCUUCCCCCAAUGCCUCUGCUGCAUGAGUGAGUGUCAGCAGGUGUGCCUGAUCACCACUCAGUGCCUGGAGAAUAAGAAGGCUUGGGUCUUUUCACACUGGCGACCUGUCCAGGAUGUAUCCCGCCUUUCGCUCGAUGCCAGCUGGGAUUGGCUCCAGCCCCCCGCGACCCUGUACGCAGGAUAAGCGGUUGGCGAUGGAUGGAUGGGUCUUUUCACAGCACUCGGUCUGUUUCCCUUGCUACCUGUUGUGACCACACUGCAGACCAACACCCGUGAGCAGACCACUGCCAACCAGUCAGCCCAGCGGACAGGGGAAGCCCAUUCAACCAGUGGGUUGAACACCGACUUAGAUCUUCCGUGAGUCCAGAACAGUGUCUGGUUUUAACCUCCUCGGUGGAGAGAGGACUUUUCAGCUGUUCAUUUAGUGUUGAACUUUGCUCCCUCAGUUACUUAACCUGUGUGUAUUGUUGUCUUACUUUGUUGGCUCGCUGUCUCCUUUUGAGAGAUUAGUUUUGUGUUGGUUUUCCUUUGUCAAUAUUGUAAUAAAUACACUUCUUAGUUUGCACAUAA